This is an RNA transcript of Cephus cinctus (wheat stem sawfly), 1724 nucleotides long. It is a transcript of the gene named DNA-directed RNA polymerase III subunit RPC7-like, with no coding region annotated. The transcript has 3 exons. The record is from RefSeq and is a predicted model, not a curated record. NCBI's taxonomy places the organism in Eukaryota, Metazoa, Arthropoda, Insecta, Hymenoptera, Cephidae.
CUUUAUUUAACCGCAUUUCGCAUGAAGUAUGACGGUUUACCACGACGAAGUGGAAAUUGAGGACUUCGAAUACGACGAGGACGAAGAAAUCUAUUACUACCCUUGUCCGUGCGGUGAUCAGUUUCAAAUUUCAAAGACCGACCUUACAGCUGGCGAGGACGAAGCUACAUGCCCUUCCUGCUCUUUGGUCGUUAAAGUCAUCUAUGACAAAGAGACAUUUGCUGCAAAACAGGAAGAAUUAGUUAAAGCAGACGAGAAGGAACUUCCUAUGGAGAAAGCUUGAGAUAAUAUCCCACAAGCUAAUUUACUAAAAUGGCAGGACGUGGUAGGGGAAGAGGUAAGGCCUCUAUGUCUAUCAAUGUUGAGCAAUUGGGUUUUAGCAAGGGUGAAGCUCUUCCACCACCUGUUUUACAACCACCACCAAAGUAUCCUCCAUUGGACUACAAACCUAUUUCCUUUACACUUACUAAUGAAACAAAUUACCUCCUUGAACUUAAAAGGGACUUUGCAGAGUUCACUCGUGAGUCUUCUUAUAAUGUUCAACCAAUUGUCAUUAAGAAAGAUAUAGAAAGAUACUCUGAUAAAUAUCAGGAUAUGAUAACUGAUAAAACAAGCUACGAAGCACAUUACGACUGGACUAGGAUGCCAGCAGAGUUAAAACCUGCUAUUAAGAAACGCAAAGUUGACAAUAUUAAGAAAGUUGUAAAGAAAAAGAAAGAUAUAGACAUUGAAACUAAACUCAAGGAAUUGGAGACAAAGGAGGAUACUCAGCAAAGUGAUACUGAAGAAGAUGGGAAGGAGGAAGGCAAGAAUGAAGAAAAGGAAGUUGACGAACAUGUAGAGGAUGAGGAGGAAGAAGCUGAUGAAGAGAUGGAUGAUGGAACUGACUAUUAUAAUAACUAUUUUGAUAACGGGGAAGGCUAUGAUGACGAAGAUGACAACCUGGAUGAUGGUCCAAUUUAUUGAGUUUUGUCUUAUGAAGCUUGAUUGGUUUUAACUCUCGCAGAGUCUAGUACUACUUCAUUAUAUUCCUCACAGGCAUUACAAAAUCACUUAAGAAAUUUAGAGAAGGACGAGUGUAACGAUCGUCAUUGCGCAGAUGCAGAAAGUAUUUUAGGCAGAGUAUCUGUGCACCCGCAGACUGCAGUUUACGUGAACAACGUCGAUUGUAUAUAGCAGGAAGACGUUUUAAAGGGUUCGGAAAUUUCCCAAUUCAUAUUUAACACAUUAAAGGCGGGAGUCGUAGUACUACGAUUUAUCUCGACUGUAGCUUAAAGGCGGGAGUCGUAUUAGUACGGUUUGCAACCACAUUGCGCAAUCCAUGCGCCACUUUACAUUUGUAUUUAGUAUUUUUUGUGGUUUGAAGCUGUUCGGUUGUUCAAAUUCUACUUACAGUAAAUUUUGAAAUCCUUCAAUAUGGUUUCACGCGAAAAUAAAGAUAUAUAUGCAGACGAUUCUUCUCAUAAAUAUGUACUUUCAAACAUUUUUUGUAAUUAGUGUUUAGUUCUUUUUUAAUAUGUCUUGUAGUUUUAAGAGUUUAAAUAAAUUUGUUUAAGUCUAAAUUUUUUUAUGAUUACACAUAAUAUUGCCCGGUCUAGGACGAAAAACGAGGCGGGGCGGUCGCCGCGUUACCUAGCAUGCUUUCGUCAAGAUCCCCCGCCUUUAAUGUGUUAAGAAAAGGCAGUCGCUCUCGCGGUUAACUUCCAGAUUGAUUUGUUGUACCC